RNAcentral lists this ribosomal RNA (253 nucleotides) under uncultured bacterium. RNAcentral describes it as "partial 16S ribosomal RNA". It matches the Rfam family "Bacterial small subunit ribosomal RNA", at positions 524 to 776 of the family's 1533-position model. The record is from RNAcentral.
UACGAGGGGUGCAAGCGUUGCUCGGAAUUAUUGGGCGUAAAGGGUAGGUAGGUGGUCUCAUUUGUCUAGGGUGAAAGCCUUGAGCUUAACUCAAGAAGUGCCCUAGAAACGGUGAGACUGGAGUCCUGGAGAGGGUCGUGGAAUUCCCGGUGUAGCGGUGAAAUGCGUAGAGAUCGGGAGGAACACCAGCGGCGAAGGCGGCGACCUGGACAGGUACUGACACUCAACUACGAAAGCGUGGGGAGCAAACAGG